AUGAUUAAAGAAAGAUUUCAAUUGAUAAGUCGAGUAUAAAUUGUUAGUUUCCCUCAUAAUUAUCAAUUGGCGAAAUUAUUUUAAAAUAUUGUCACCCACUUUAUUGCCUUUUUUUCUGAAACUCUCUAUCUCUCUCUGUUCAGAAGCCCUCACUAAUCUAACGCUAAAGAACCAUCUUCUUCAUCUUCCAGAUUGAGAAGAGUUUUAGUAGCAGCAGCCAGCCUUAAUGUGUUCACUUCUCUUUCUCCAUCUCAAUCUCUCAAGAUCUUGAAGCUUCGUUCUUCAAUCUUUCAAUCUUCAUUUUCUCAUGUGAUUGCUGGGUUCGCUGUAAAUUUCCAUCAGCAGUCUUGCUUCUCUUCAUCUCCAAUUCCAGGGAACCAUGGGGAAGAAAGUUAAGAAGAAGACCAAUAGAGCUCCUCCGAAAGAGAAGCGGGUAUCUUCAAGUUCACCGAGGAAGGUGCCCCAGCGAAACAGCACAACGGUGGAGACUGCUGAUGAGGACGUUCCAGUUGUGAAGGAGAAAAGCCAAUGCCGGCAUCUUGAUAAAUGCUUUAAUUUGAAUGAGUUAUCAUCUAAACUUGGGUCUUCCGAACCUAUUAGCUGCGAAGAUUGUCAAGAUAGUUCAGCUGAUAGAAGGGGAACUAGGGGGAAGGCUAGACAUGGGAAGAAAAAAGGGGGAACUUCUGUGGAUGUAAAAACUGAUGCCAAAGCUAUUUGGAUUUGUUUGCAGUGUGGGCAUUAUGCCUGUGGGGGUAUUGGACUUCCUACAAACCCUCAGAGUCAUGCUGUUCGGCACGUCAGGCAAACUCGUCACCCUGUGGUGAUUCAGUUUGAAAACCCGCAGCUUCGAUGGUGUUUCUCUUGCAAUACCUUACUUCCAGUAGAGAAAACUGAAGAAAAUGGUGAACAAAAGGAUGACUUGUCUGAUGUGGUGAAAUUAAUUCGGGACCGGUCAAUGGAAUCCUCGCCUGUGGAUGUUAAGAACACAUGGCACACGAGUAGUGAAGUUACAGCUGGAACUGAAUCAGAAAGUUCGGUAUUAAGUGAUUUGGACAGAAGAAAUCAUUAUGUUGUAAAAGGAUUGAUUAAUCUUGGUAAUACUUGUUUUUUCAAUUCAAUCCUUCAAAAUCUCUUGGCCAUUGAUAUGUUGAGAGAUCAUUUCACAAAAUUGGAAGAAUGUGUUGGACCUUUAACUAUAGCUUUGAAGAAGAUCUUUAUAGAAGCAAGAAUGGAAACCAGAAUGAAAUGUUCGAUAAAUCCAAGAUCAGUUUUUGGCUCCAUCUCUUCCAAAGCCCCUCAGUUCAAAGGAUAUGAACAACAUGACAGUCAUGAAUUGCUCCGCGUCCUACUCGACACAUUGUCUUCUGAAGAGCUGACUUCGAGAAAGAUGACGAAUUCUAAGGAAGAGAGAAUAUCUGGAAAUCCCACUCCUACUUUUGUUGAUGAGAUGUUUGGGGGGCAAAUAUCAAGUGCCGUAUGUUGCAAAGAAUGUGGCCAUAUAUCGACAGUUUAUGAGCCAUUUCUAGAUCUUUCUCUCCCCGUUCCAAUGAAGAAAUCUCUGGCCAAAAAGGUCCAACCAGCCUCUCGAGCAAAGAAGACAAAACUACCACCCAAGAGAAAUGGAAAGACGAUUCCUAAAACUGACAAGGCUUCAGAUGUUGUAACAGUUCAAAUUGCCUCAGUUCCAUCAUCUAGUAAUGAGUCUUCCCUUCCAUCAGAGGCCGGUGUGAGUAGCACGACUACCAUCAUGGAGAAGACCUUAACUUCUCAGAAUGUCUCAGAUGUUAAAGAGUCGGAAAAAGAAGUUUUGAUUGAGAAUGGAGGAGAAUGUGCUUCAGAUAAUUUGACGUGGAUGGAUUUCCUUGGACCAGAACUGAAUGCCAAAAAUUGUGAUAUUUCCACUAUUCAGGAUUCUGAAAAUAAUGUUGAAUUAUUUAUUAGUGACGACUCACAACAAAGCGUCUCUGGGUUGAGUAUGCAGGUUUCAUCCCUUCACAAUGAGCCCAAUCAACGACCAGAUUUUUCUUCAGUGAAUUCAUGGGAUGCCGAAGCUCCUUUACAGGUUCAAGCCUCUGAAGUUUUGCUGCUUCCUUACAAGGAAGAGAGUUCCACUGCUGAAUUAGCAAAAGAAGAUGAUCAGGCCUCCUCAUCAAUUUUGGGCUGUGCUCAAGAAGAUUUUGAUGGAUUUGGCCUUGGUGAUAUGUUUGAUGAGCCUGAAAUCGCUAUAGGGCCCAUUGCAAGGCCCUCCAUGUCGAAUGAAGUUGCAGAAAGUAGUUUUAAUAGUGAAUCUGAUCAUGAGGAAGUUGAUAACACCGAUGCUCCCGUCUCUGUGGAGAGUUGUCUAACUUAUUUCACAAAGCCGGAACUUCUGUCCAACGAAAAUGGAUAUAACUGUGAGAAAUGCUCAAAAAGACUACAACGACAAAAGCUGGAAAUGAAGAGACAAUCAAAAGUUGCUUGCAAAGCUGUAGCAAAUGGAUGUCAAACUGCAAUAGGGGGUGAUACAUCUAGUUUCAACGAGGACUCUUCAGUUGAAGUAAAAAAUCAAAGAAAUGUGAAUUUAGCAAAUGGUUCUGUAAGUAACAAUAGUGGUGAAAGCUUGAAUUUGAAAGAAAAUGCAGAUUGUUCCAGUCGAGAUUGCACAAAACCUGCUAAUUGCCAGAAAGGCAAGACGGAUUCCCUUCCUUUAGAUGAGGAUGAUGCUAAGGUUGACACAGAUAUGAAUCCUGGCCUAGCAUAUUCUUCAGGUUGUAAUAACACCAGCAAUCAAGAGAAUUCAGAUGAUAGAUCCGGUUGUUCUCUUUCCAACGAUGAUCCUAAAAGCAGUGCACUUGCAAAAACUAAUACUGAGCUCUUGAGUUCACAAAUAUCUGCCGAGAAUCAAUCAGAAAAAAGUGAGGACGGUGAGAUGGAUUCUGAUUCAACAAUUGUGAAUGUGAAAAGAGAUGCAACAAAGAGGUUUCUUAUUCACAAGGCCCCUCCUAUCUUGACAAUUCAUAUUAAGAGGUUCAGUCCUGAUGCUCGGGGUCGUUAUAGUAAAUUGAAUGGCCACAUCAGAUUCAAGGAAACAAUUGAUCUUAAACCAUACCUGGAUACACGGUUUUGUGGUCUCCUUAGUAAUUGGUGAAGCUUUUUGUAGAUCCUUUCGUACCCUCGAUGAAAUCAUUUCUUAUUGAACAAAAAAAUCCAAGAACCUGAUCCGAGAAAAGAAUGAACUGAUGGUGUAAACAAAAAGACGAAAAAGAUUGCAUUGGAAAUUUUGAUUCACCCAAUCUGUUAUAGCUCAUGGAUUCACAUUCAUGUACACCAUCCAUGCUACAACAGGAAGAACCGUGGCUAACAAAAUAUUUUUCAUGUGGAGUUACAUACGCUACUCACGCUAGUCAACAGACUUUCACCAAAGUACAUGUCCAUAGUGCCCCUGAGCCGAGGGCAGGGGCCGAUCGCUGAUGUACAUGACCUGUGGAGUUUUCCUACACUGCAGUCACACUUAAGUGUUCUUUGUCUUACAUUGAAAAGAAGUAUUCGCCAAUGGUUCUCUUAAUAGGUGUGUGGAUAGGGACAAGUGUAACUAUCGGUUGGUCGGGGUCGUGGAGCACUCCGGAUCUAUGAGAGGAGGCCAUUAUGUUGCAUACGUGAGAGGGGGCAACAGGAAGAGGAGCAAUGGGGAAGCUGAGGAAGAUGCUUCU
This is an RNA transcript of Benincasa hispida (wax gourd), 3689 nucleotides long. It is a transcript of the gene named ubiquitin-specific protease 2, with no coding region annotated. The record is from RefSeq and is a predicted model, not a curated record. NCBI's taxonomy places the organism in Eukaryota, Viridiplantae, Streptophyta, Magnoliopsida, Cucurbitales, Cucurbitaceae.